UGGGGUUUAGGCUCAGUGGUGGAGCGCUUACCUAGCAUGUGUGAGGUGCUGGGUUCAAAUCUCAACACCACAU
RNAcentral lists this transfer RNA (73 nucleotides) under Marmota monax (woodchuck). Its description in RNAcentral is "tRNA.Ala". Lineage: Eukaryota; Metazoa; Chordata; Mammalia; Rodentia; Sciuridae. The record is from RNAcentral.